This 207-nucleotide ribosomal RNA is filed under the name uncultured bacterium. RNAcentral describes it as "partial 16S ribosomal RNA". It matches the Rfam family "Bacterial small subunit ribosomal RNA", at positions 568 to 774 of the family's 1533-position model. The record is from RNAcentral.
CUCGUAGGCGGCUUGUCGCGUCUGCUGUGAAAACGCGGGGCUUAACUCCGCGCGUGCAGUGGGUACGGGCAGGCUAGAGUGUGGUAGGGGUGACUGGAAUUCCUGGUGUAGCGGUGGAAUGCGUAGAUAUUAGGAGGAACGCCAGUGGCGAAGGCGGCUUACUGGACGGUAACUGACGUUGAGGCUCGAGAGCGUGGGGAGCAAACA